This 253-nucleotide ribosomal RNA is filed under the name uncultured bacterium. RNAcentral describes it as "partial 16S ribosomal RNA". It matches the Rfam family "Bacterial small subunit ribosomal RNA", at positions 524 to 776 of the family's 1533-position model. The record is from RNAcentral.
UACAGAGGGUGCGAGCGUUGUCCGGAAUCAUUGGGUUUAAAGGGUGCGUAGGCGGCCUUAUAAGUCAGUGCUGAAAUAUCCCGGCUUAACCGGGAGGGUGGCAUUGAUACUGUAGGGCUUGAGUAAAGUUGAGGUAGGCGGAAUUGACGGUGUAGCGGUGAAAUGCUUAGAUAUCGUCAAGAACACCGAUAGUGUAGACAGCUUACUAAGCUUUAACUGACGCUGAGGCACGAAAGUGUGGGGAUCAAACAGG